Molecule: long non-coding RNA, 416 nt
Filed under: Manacus vitellinus (golden-collared manakin)
Lineage: Eukaryota; Metazoa; Chordata; Aves; Passeriformes; Pipridae
Description: lncRNA (ENSMVIG00005002751.1)
Source: RNAcentral
GGCCAUGACCUCUAGUUUCAGGGCACAUGGGGUGAAAUCCUAGCUAUACUGAAGCCAGAGGGGCCCAGACUGGUUUUCUCCUCACAUUCUCGAGUCCUUCGGGCUUUGCAGCUGUGCUGCUAAAGGUGACAUGGCUGCAGAAUCCAAAGGUGCAGAGGCAGCACAAGCUAUCCAAAUUGGCUACUUUCCCGUGUGGGAAGUUUUAUGUCCCUUGGACAUAGUGGUUUUUCAACAGUAAUUGCAGAAGAAAUCCUGAUGCCUCAUCUAGAGCUGAUAGCUAAAGUAUUGAAAGACAAUGGUUUUCUCUUCUAAGGCUGAAGGACCUGUGAAAUGGAUUUGGAGCCAGCCUUCUCCAUCAGCUAAUCUAUGUGUGAGAGCUAAAUAAAAGAACCUUGGGGAAAGGUGAAAAAAGAGUA